AAGUCGUAACAAGGUUUCCGUAGGUGAACCUGCGGAAGGAUCAUCAGCAGGGGACUCUGUGCCCGUUAGGGCAGCGAGACCAUAUCACACUUGCACUGCGUGCACCGUAGUUAGUCCGGCGCUCUGUUGCCCGGGAGGGCGUUGCCCGAGAGGGCGUUGCCCGAGAGGGCGUUGCCCGAGAGGGCAGCAUCGGCGCUAGUGGCCACCAUUCACAGCAUCAGUCUGAAAACAUCCAAACACAAAUAGACAACUUUCAUCAGUGGAUCUCUGGGCUCUC
This 277-nucleotide unclassified non-coding RNA is filed under the name fungal sp. RNAcentral describes it as "partial internal transcribed spacer region". The stretch from base 1 to 46 matches the Rfam family "Eukaryotic small subunit ribosomal RNA", at positions 1786 to 1831 of the family's 1831-position model. Lineage: Eukaryota; Fungi. The record is from RNAcentral.